UGGAUGCGUAGGUACUUAUUAUAUAAAUCCAGUACUACUUCCAAACCGUUACUUAACAUAAUGAGACUGUGUCAAAUUGCGUGCGUUCUUUUCGUUUUACUUCUCGGUGUCAAUGAGAUACAGGCAAGCAUCCAUCAUCCAAGUCGUGAUGAAGGACGGGCGAUUGAUCCAUUGUCAUCUGCCAUAAGGUUCUUUCGAUUACUCCGCUGUGAUGCAGGAAAGUACCGCGACGCUCGCAAUCGUUGUGUGUCUCCUUGGAACUAAGGAAUCGGCAAUUUCGUUUUUAGAAGUGCGGUGAAUCAUAUAACAGUAUUAUUCUACAUUUUUUUAAGUUAAUAAAUGUCAUUUGGUAGAGA
This is a long non-coding RNA of Photinus pyralis (common eastern firefly), 356 nucleotides long. RefSeq lists it as uncharacterized. Lineage: Eukaryota; Metazoa; Arthropoda; Insecta; Coleoptera; Lampyridae. The transcript has 2 exons. The record is from RefSeq and is a predicted model, not a curated record.